Non-coding RNA from Podarcis lilfordi (Lilford's wall lizard), 65 nucleotides. The record is from the annotation of a GenBank genome assembly. NCBI's taxonomy places the organism in Eukaryota, Metazoa, Chordata, Lepidosauria, Squamata, Lacertidae.
GAGCUCAGUGGUAGGAUGUCUGCUCUGCAUGCAGAAGGUGUUGGCUUUGAUCCCCAGCAUCUCCA